UGAGAUGCUAUUCCUAGAUGGCCU
Molecule: non-coding RNA, 24 nt
Filed under: Mus musculus (house mouse)
Lineage: Eukaryota; Metazoa; Chordata; Mammalia; Rodentia; Muridae
Source: RNAcentral